AGCGAACGCUGGCGGCAGGCUUAACACAUGCAAGUCGAACGCAUCCUUCGGGGUGAGUGGCAGACGGGUGAGUAACACGUGGGAACAUACCUUUUGGUUCGGAAUAACUCAUGGAAACGUGAGCUAAUACCGGAUACGCCCUUUUGGGGAAAGAUUUAUUGCCGAAAGAUUGGCCCGCGUCUGAUUAGCUAGUUGGUGAGGUAAUGGCUCACCAAGGCGACGAUCAGUAGCUGGUCUGAGAGGAUGAUCAGCCACACUGGGACUGAGACACGGCCCAGACUCCUACGGGAGGCAGCAGUGGGGAAUAUUGGACAAUGGGCGCAAGCCUGAUCCAGCCAUGCCGCGUGAGUGAUGAAGGCCUUAGGGUUGUAAAGCUCUUUUAUCCGGGAAGAUAAUGACUGUACCGGAAGAAUAAGCCCCGGCUAACUUCGUGCCAGCCGCCGCCGUAA
This 449-nucleotide ribosomal RNA is filed under the name uncultured bacterium. RNAcentral describes it as "partial 16S ribosomal RNA". It matches the Rfam family "Bacterial small subunit ribosomal RNA", at positions 29 to 523 of the family's 1533-position model. The record is from RNAcentral.